AGGUGUGGAGAGCUCUGGUGCAUGAGAACUUUAUUUUUCAUUUCAGGAACAUCCAAGAAGUCAUGGCCAUGAGCAAACUGGAAACCAUGUGUAACCCCACUGGACCUGGGAGCUGAAGAAUCAUGUGUUUGGCUAACGGAACCAGCUGACCAACCAGAUUCAGAAAAGAAAAAUUCAGACACUCGAAACAAGCAUAUUUGAGGCUCCAGUUACAGAAGAAUAUGAAGCCAUCAAGCAAGAACUUGAAACACAUUUUAAUGAAGACCCAGAGAAUAAAAUAUAAGUUCAAUGGAAACAUAAGUUAAAUUUUGAAAAAUGAGUUCAAUUUUGAAAAUAAGCUAAUAAUCCUUAAAGAGCAACUUCUUUCAGACAGCAAAAGAAAAGCCAAUGAACUUAUUCGUUUUUUAAAAAAUUUAAGAAAGACUGGAUAAGAAAAAGAGAGAUUAUAAAAACAAACUAUUGGAAAGGAGCCGAAAAUUGUUUUUAAUUGUAAAGGCUAAAAAGUUGAGUGAGGAAGACUUACAUGAGAAAUUCAAUCAAUGUCGGAAAAAAAGGGUCUGUGAUGUGUCCACAACUCUUCCUAAAGUCACAGAGCCUGACACUGAUUUGGAUUCUGAAAACAUCCUUUCAGAGUAUUUAAAACAUGAGAUGGAUGUCAUGGACAUACUAACAAGAAAUUCUGCAGAGAAGUUUCAAAUCAAUUAUGACAAAUAUGUCAAAAUGAAUAAGAAAUGUAACAAUUUUGAAACAAUGUGAUCAGUAGUCAUAUUCAUGAACUCUUUCUCAAUGACAUUAAUAGUCAGAAAAAAAUUACAGGUAAAUGACAUUAAUCGUCCUUGAGAAAGAGUUCAUGAAUAUGACUACUGAUCAUAUUGUUUCAAGAUUUAAUAAAACUAUUAACAAUAUUUGGAAAAAGCAAUGUGAUUACAAUCCAAAUACAUCCAGAAAAUUCUAAAGACAACAGAGGAAGAAGUGAAACCUGCAUCUACUCAGGAAAGAUACACAUUUAAAAAUAAAUAUAUUAUCAGCUUAUGCUUGUGUUUAUUCCAGUGAGCAACAGAGAAUUCUAAAGAAAUGCACAGGGCAUUCAAGAGAGCAAAUGAUCCUGUAAACUAUCUAGAAAGCAAGAAAAAUGAUUUCUUGAUGAGGUUUAAGAUUUCCUGCCAAGAAGCAACCUCCAGCAAAACACUUACUGAUUUUCUGGGGCACAAGCUCGUUCCUGCUGUCUCUACCAUCAUAUGGGGGAAAAAUAACCAUUAAAAUUGUGGGGACAUGUGAGCUACCUGCCCUGCAUUCAGUGAAAACAGGACUAACCUGGAGAAACACAUUCUCGUCUCUCUGGGAGAAGAAGAAAACUUUGAUCAUUACUGGCAAUACUUUCAUAAUAAGAAUAGCUUUUUAAGGAAUUACAUCAAAAUCAAUAUUAAGAGAUACUGUUUAGACAAUGCAGGUAAAAAAAUGAAGAUUUUUUUGAGAAAAGUUUAGUUGACAUUAAUAAUGGCAUCCUCCCUGCCCUUCAUGAAUCCACAUCAGUAGCUAAAGAUAAAAGCAGCACUGCUUCUGGUGGUUGGAUUUAUUCUGUGAUCGCCUGGAGAGCAACUUGAUCUUUCCACAGAGAGACUUGACAAGGAUUAAACACCAGGAGAUAAAAGAUACUGAGUUUCUCAGAGAAGACAUGAGUGCGGCUUUGGAUCUCACAAUGAGGAGAAUAGAACAGCAUUAUUCAAGUAUGCCUAUGGAAGUAAUGGUUUCUAAAACUGAGAAAAUGCUCUCUGAACAUCUCUGUGGCUGCUGGAAACAGUGUCCCUGCUGUGAAGCAAUUUGUACAAACACAAUUCCUACACACGAAGGAGACCAUGGUGUUCCCUUCCCCUGUCCUCAGGCUGUCUAUGGAGAGGAAUAGUAUAAAACAGGCCAUUCUGUCAUGGCUUGCUCUACUAGUUUUGUAGCAAGUGAUUGUUUAUUGGUUUUGAGCAAUGAUGGAAAAAUCCCAUAUAAGUAUCAAAAGGCAGGAGUGGAUUAUGCCACGGGGAGCAUCCCUCCAGAUUCCUCCACCCAGCCAUCUUGGAAAUGGUUUCUUUCUCACUUCAGAUCAAAGCUAGAAUAUAAAUAUCAGGAAAAAAAAUUACAGGUAAUGGUAAAAUCCCUAACUCAUGGGCCAAAAUCCAAAAGAAGGACAUCCUUGAAGAUUUGA
Molecule: long non-coding RNA, 2194 nt
Filed under: Homo sapiens (human)
Lineage: Eukaryota; Metazoa; Chordata; Mammalia; Primates; Hominidae
Description: non-protein coding lnc-OR2AG1-1:1
Source: RNAcentral